AGUAAGCCGGACAGUCGCGGGGACAAGGCGAAAGCCUGUUCAUGAGGAAAGUCCGGGCUCCACAGGGCAAGGAUAACGGGUAACGCCCGCCGAAGGCAACUUCAGGAAAAGUGCAACAGAGAUAUACCGCCCGGCUCCGCCGGGUAAGGGUGGAAAGGCGAGGUAAGAGCUCACCCAUCGGCUGGGAACAGUCCGAUGCUGUAAACUCUAUCCGGAGCAACACCGGUAUGGGAGCAAUAGGCUGGCCCGGCCGCUCCCGGGGUGGCUUGAGCGCCGCGGCAACGCGGCGCCUAGAUAGAUGACUGUCUAAGACAGAACCCGGCUUAUAGACUUACUCG
RNAcentral lists this RNase P RNA (338 nucleotides) under human gut metagenome. Its description in RNAcentral is "Bacterial RNase P class A". It matches the Rfam family "Bacterial RNase P class A". Rfam says of the family: Ribonuclease P (RNase P) is a ubiquitous endoribonuclease, found in archaea, bacteria and eukarya as well as chloroplasts and mitochondria. Its best characterised activity is the generation of mature 5'-ends of tRNAs by cleaving the 5'-leader elements of precursor-tRNAs. Cellular RNase Ps are ribonucleoproteins. The record is from RNAcentral.